Molecule: ribosomal RNA, 374 nt
Filed under: uncultured organism
Description: partial 16S ribosomal RNA
Rfam family: Bacterial small subunit ribosomal RNA
Source: RNAcentral
GUAGGUGGCAAGCGUUGUCCGGAAUUAUUGGGCGUAAAGCGCGCGCAGGCGGUUCUUUAAGUCUGAUGUGAAAGCCCACGGCUCAACCGUGGAGGGUCAUUGGAAACUGGAGAACUUGAGUACAGAAGAGGAAAGCGGAAUUCCACGUGUAGCGGUGAAAUGCGUAGAGAUGUGGAGGAACACCAGUGGCGAAGGCGGCUUUUCUGGUCUGUAACUGACGCUGAGGCGCGAAAGCGUGGGGAGCAAACAGGGAUUAGAUACCCUGGUAGUCCACGCCGUAAACGAUGAGUGCUAAGUGUUAGGGGGUUUCCGCCCCCUUAGUGCUGCAGCUAACGCAUUAAGCACUCCGCCUGGGGAGUACGGCCGCAAGGCCG